UGGGGAAUAUUGCACAAUGGGCGCAAGCCUGAUGCAGCCAUGCCGCGUGUGUGAAGAAGGCCUUCGGGUUGUAAAGCACUUUCAGCGGGGAGGAAGGCGGUGAGGUUAAUAACCUCAUCGAUUGACGUUACCCGCAGAAGAAGCACCGGCUAACUCCGUGCCAGCAGCCGCGGUAAUACGGAGGGUGCAAGCGUUAAUCGGAAUUACUGGGCGUAAAGCGCACGCAGGCGGUCUGUCAAGUCGGAUGUGAAAUCCCCGGGCUCAACCUGGGAACUGCAUUCGAAACUGGCAGGCUAGAGUCUUGUAGAGGGGGGUAGAAUUCCAGGUGUAGCGGUGAAAUGCGUAGAAAUCUGGAGGAAUACCGGUGGCGAAGGCGGCCCCCUGGACAAAGACUGACGCUCAGGUGCGAAAGCGUGGGGAGCAAACAGG
This 429-nucleotide ribosomal RNA is filed under the name Chloroflexota bacterium. RNAcentral's name for it is "Chloroflexi bacterium partial 16S ribosomal RNA". It matches the Rfam family "Bacterial small subunit ribosomal RNA", at positions 355 to 776 of the family's 1533-position model. The record is from RNAcentral. Lineage: Bacteria; Bacillati; Chloroflexota.